AAUCUUCGAUCUCUAGCAGCCCUCACUCCUCCUCUCAACCCACCCCCCUCUUCCUCCCUGGCUUGAGAACACCCCGAUCCUCAGUGGCCCUCACUCCUCCUUUCCCUUCUUCUCUCCGACGUGAGAACCCUCUCUGAUCCUCGACAGCCCUCCCUCUUUCAAAAAAUUUUAAGAUAUUUAUCAAAACUCAACUGACCAGAGAAGGUUCUUGCAUCGAAGAAGAAGAGGGAGGGGAGGCAAGUAG
Molecule: long non-coding RNA, 244 nt
Filed under: Elaeis guineensis (African oil palm)
Lineage: Eukaryota; Viridiplantae; Streptophyta; Magnoliopsida; Arecales; Arecaceae
Description: long non-coding RNA (EGUI_LNC006371)
Source: RNAcentral